AGCCCCAUCGUCUAGUGGCCAAGGAUGGCAGGCUCUGACCCUGCAGACAGGAGUUCGAAUCUCCUUGGGGCUA
This 73-nucleotide transfer RNA is filed under the name Candidatus Iainarchaeum sp. Its description in RNAcentral is "tRNA-Gln". It matches the Rfam family "tRNA". Rfam says of the family: Transfer RNA (tRNA) molecules are approximately 80 nucleotides in length. The record is from RNAcentral. Lineage: Archaea; Nanobdellati; Candidatus Iainarchaeota; Candidatus Iainarchaeia; Candidatus Iainarchaeales; Candidatus Iainarchaeaceae.